UUUCCGUAGGUGAACCUGCGGAAGGAUCAUUAAUGAGUUGUCAUGGGGUUCGAUGCUGGCAGCCAGUUUUUGGAUGCAUGUGCUUGCCCUAACAAUCAUCUUCUUCCAAACACCUGUGCACAUUUUUGAGGGAGUCUUGAGUUGGUUGCCGCUCUUGGGUGAUUUUCUCACAUUCCCUUAAAUCAUUAUACGCUAUUAACAAUGUUGAACGUGCUCUGUACCGCAAGGCCAUUAAUAUAAUACAACUUUUAACAACGGAUCUCUUGGCUCUC
RNAcentral lists this unclassified non-coding RNA (272 nucleotides) under plant metagenome. Its description in RNAcentral is "partial contains small subunit ribosomal RNA, internal transcribed spacer 1, and 5.8S ribosomal RNA". The record is from RNAcentral.